GACGAACGCUGGCGGCGUGCCUAAUACAUGCAAGUAGAACGCUGAAGGAGGAGCUUGCUUCUCUGGAUGAGUUGCGAACGGGUGAGUAACGCGUAGGUAACCUGCCUUGUAGCGGGGGAUAACUAUUGGAAACGAUAGCUAAUACCGCAUAAUAGUAGAUGUUGCAUGACAUUUGCUUAAAAGGUGCAAUUGCUUCACUACCAGAUGGACCUGCGUUGUAUUAGCUAGUUGGUGGGGUAACGGCUCACCAAGGCGACGAUACAUAGCCGACCUGAGAGGGGGGUCGGCCGGACUGGGACGGAGACACGGCCCAGACGCCUACGGGAGGCAGCAGGAGGGAAACUUGGGCAAUGGGCGGAAGUCUGACCGAGCAACGCCGCGGGAGGAAAGAAGGUUUUCGGAUCGGAAAGCUCUGUUGUAAGAGAAGAACGAGUGUGAGAGUGGAAAGUUCACACUGUGACGGUAACUUACCAGAAAGGGACGGCUAACUACGUG
RNAcentral lists this ribosomal RNA (495 nucleotides) under uncultured bacterium. RNAcentral's name for it is "partial 16S ribosomal RNA". It matches the Rfam family "Bacterial small subunit ribosomal RNA", at positions 28 to 507 of the family's 1533-position model. The record is from RNAcentral.